Long non-coding RNA from Pecten maximus, 579 nucleotides. RefSeq lists it as uncharacterized. NCBI's taxonomy places the organism in Eukaryota, Metazoa, Mollusca, Bivalvia, Pectinida, Pectinidae. The transcript has 2 exons. The record is from RefSeq and is a predicted model, not a curated record.
CACUACAUCGGCACCAGUUCUCAAUCACACAGCUUUGCAAGCACACAGCAUUCUCCCAGACAACAUGAAGACCUGUUUCAUCGUCCUUGUUUUGGCUUUGGCCAUGAUCAGCUGUGCAUCGGCUCAGGUCGGUGGAAUGCAGGGUUUAAUGAUGAUGUCCAUGUUCGAUUCACCUGAAAUAAGGACUUUGAUGAUGUGCCAGAUGUGUAUGAGGUCAAGCGGAAACAUAAUGACCUGCAGCAUGAUGGGAAUGUGUGGAAACUAGUCACGUGACACAGUUACCAGGACAUUUUGUCUUCCUUGUCAUUAACACUAGAAAUCAGAAUCCUGCAUCCGUCACAAUCUAUAGAACCAUAACGAGGUUUUUAGAAGUACUACUAGCAAAGAACAUUUUUCCAAUUCAACCAAGGAUGUGCCUAAAGCUAUCUAAUCCCAAUGACGCUAUCCAAACUGUGAUGAAGAGUUCGUCAUUUCCGGUACGAGCAGAUUAGCAGAGCACAAUGGCGGGCGUCAUUUGGAUUAGAAUGAGAAAUCACCACAUACUGUCAUUGUUAUUUAUUAAACAUCUCACAUUUUAAA